Non-coding RNA from Schistosoma curassoni, 78 nucleotides. The record is from Rfam. NCBI's taxonomy places the organism in Eukaryota, Metazoa, Platyhelminthes, Trematoda, Strigeidida, Schistosomatidae.
AGCCUUUCGAAUCCGUGCUGAUAUUUCGUCAGACACCAACCCAUUAUGUCUGAUCAGACUUCCAAGAUAAGUGAAGUU